This 566-nucleotide long non-coding RNA is filed under the name Parus major (Great Tit). Its description in RNAcentral is "lncRNA (ENSPMJG00000018302.1)". The record is from RNAcentral. Lineage: Eukaryota; Metazoa; Chordata; Aves; Passeriformes; Paridae.
AUUUCCACUCUUGUAACACCUGAUGUGCACAGGCUCCCCAGGACAGACAAAUCCAUGUAUUUCAUCCAGCAGACAGAAAAACAGACAAGCUCACUGUAUGAUUCAGACUGUGGUUGCUGGUACAAUUGGGCUACUACACACCUAAGUGAGAAUAGGUUGGCCUGCAUAAUCUAUGUAUCUAUCAAGAUAAAAGCCCCAACAAUGACUGUCCCUGCUGCAAAGUUUAGACAACUUUUUCUGUAAGUAACUCAAUGAAGCUAAUGGGGUCUGGAGUCCUAUGAACUUGUUGGAUCAUCUAAUGAAACCCAAAAGAACUCCCUAAUGCAUUUGUGAUGCCUUUCUCUUGUGCAGAUCCCCAAGAGUCCAGUGUGUGAGCUCAGCUUGCAGUCACUUUUUCAGUGUAGCUGCUAGUAUCACUCUCUCUUCUUCCAUACACUUCUGAAGCUCAUGGACACUUCAUUUCUUCAGAAGUGCUUCUCUUCUGAGAAAUCUGGCUGAAGAUUUCCAAGAGUUUGGACAUAAUGAGGAUGGUCAGAAAGAAGAAUAAACAAAGGCAAAGACAGACA